RNAcentral lists this ribosomal RNA (253 nucleotides) under uncultured bacterium. RNAcentral's name for it is "partial 16S ribosomal RNA". It matches the Rfam family "Bacterial small subunit ribosomal RNA", at positions 524 to 776 of the family's 1533-position model. The record is from RNAcentral.
UACAGAGGGUGCGAGCGUUAAUCGGAAUUACUGGGCGCAAAGCGCGCGUAGGCGGCUUUGCAAGUCGGGUGUGAAAUCCCCAGGCUUAACCUGGGAACUGCAUUCGAGACUGCAUUGCUAGAGUAUGGGAGAGGGAAGUGGAAUUUCCGGUGUAGCGGUGAAAUGCGUAGAUAUCGGAAGGAACAUCAGUGGCGAAAGCGACUUCCUGGACCAAUACUGACGCUCAUGUGCGAAAGCGUGGGGAGCAAACAGG